This 74-nucleotide transfer RNA is filed under the name bacterium. RNAcentral describes it as "tRNA-Arg". It matches the Rfam family "tRNA". Rfam says of the family: Transfer RNA (tRNA) molecules are approximately 80 nucleotides in length. Their secondary structure includes four short double-helical elements and three loops (D, anti-codon, and T loops). The record is from RNAcentral. RNAcentral also lists the same sequence under 2 other names.
GUGCCCGUAGCUCAAAUGGAUAGAGCGUCAGAUUGCGGAUCUGGAGGUUAGGGGUUCAAGUCCCCUCGGGCACA